RNAcentral lists this transfer RNA (64 nucleotides) under Eochionelasmus coreana. RNAcentral's name for it is "tRNA-Asp". The record is from RNAcentral. Lineage: Eukaryota; Metazoa; Arthropoda; Thecostraca; Balanomorpha; Pachylasmatidae.
GAAAAUUUAGUUAAAAAAUAACAUUAGCUUGUCACGCUAAAAUCGCCCCUCGAGGCAUUUUUCU